CCUACGGGAGGCAGCAGUAGGGAAUCUUGCACAAUGGGGGAAACCCUGAUGCAGCAACGCCGCGUGAGCGAAGAAGGCCUUCGGGUCGUAAAGCUCUUUUCUGGGGGACGAGGAAGGACGGUACCUCAGGAAUAAGCCUCGGCUAACUACGUGCCAGCAGCCGCGGUAAGACGUAGGAGGCAAGCGUUAUCCGGAUUCAUUGGGCGUAAAGGGCAAGUAGGCGGUAACCUAAGUUGGGCGUGACAUCUCCCGGCUUAACUGGGAGGGGUCGUUCAAUACUGGGCUACUAGAGGGCAGGAGAGGGAAGUGGAAUUCCUAGUGUAGCGGUGGAAUGCUCAGAUAUUAGGAAGAACACCAGUGGCGAAGGCGACUUCCUGGCCUGUGCCUGACGCUGAGCGGCGAAAGCUAGGGUAGCGAACGGGCUUAGAUACCCCGGUAGUCCUAGCCCUAAACGUUGGAUACUGGGUAUUGGGGGUAUAGAUUCCCUCAGUGCCGAAGCUAACGCGUUAAGUAUCCCGCCUGGGGACUACGGCCGCAAGGUUAAAACUUAAAGGAAUUGACGG
This 563-nucleotide ribosomal RNA is filed under the name uncultured Chloroflexota bacterium. Its description in RNAcentral is "bacterial SSU rRNA". It matches the Rfam family "Bacterial small subunit ribosomal RNA", at positions 338 to 916 of the family's 1533-position model. The record is from RNAcentral. Lineage: Bacteria; Bacillati; Chloroflexota.